Molecule: ribosomal RNA, 505 nt
Filed under: uncultured bacterium
Lineage: Bacteria
Description: partial 16S ribosomal RNA
Rfam family: Bacterial small subunit ribosomal RNA
Source: RNAcentral
GACGAACGCUGGCGGCGUGCCUAAUACAUGCAAGUAGAACGCACAGUUUAUACCGUAGCUUGCUACACCAUAGACUGUGAGUUGCGAACGGGUGAGUAACGCGUAGGUAACCUGCCUGGUAGCGGGGGAUAACUAUUGGAAACGAUAGCUAAUACCGCAUAAUAUUGAUUAUUGCAUGAUAAUUGAUUGAAAGAUGCUAUUGCAUCACUACCAGGUGGACCUGCGUUGUAUUAGCUAGUAGGUGAGGUAACGGCUCACCUAGGCGACGAUACAUAGCCGACCUGAGAGGGUGAUCGGCCACACUGGGACUGAGACACGGCCCAGACUCCUACGGGAGGCAGCAGUAGGGAAUCUUCGGCAAUGGACGAAAGUCUGACCGAGCAACGCCGCGUGAGUGAAGAAGGUUUUCGGAUCGUAAAGCUCGGUUGUAAGAGAAGAACGGGUGUGAGAGUGGAAAGUUCACACUGUGACGGUAUCUUAACAGAAAGGGACGGCUAACUACGUG